UACGUAGGGUGCGAGCGUUACUCGGAAUUACUGGGCGUAAAGCGUGCGCAGGCGGUUUUGUAAGACAGGCGUGAAAUCCCCGAGCUCAACUUGGGAAUUGCGCUUGUGACUGCAAGGCUAGAGUGUGUCAGAGGGGGGUAGAAUUCCACGUGUAGCAGUGAAAUGCGUAGAGAUGUGGAGGAAUACCGAUGGCGAAGGCAGCCCCCUGGGACAUGACUGACGCUCAUGCACGAAAGCGUGGGGAGCAAACAGG
Molecule: ribosomal RNA, 253 nt
Filed under: uncultured bacterium
Lineage: Bacteria
Description: partial 16S ribosomal RNA
Rfam family: Bacterial small subunit ribosomal RNA
Source: RNAcentral